RNAcentral lists this long non-coding RNA (496 nucleotides) under Mus spretus (western wild mouse). Its description in RNAcentral is "lncRNA (ENSMSPG00010033877.1)". The record is from RNAcentral. Lineage: Eukaryota; Metazoa; Chordata; Mammalia; Rodentia; Muridae.
GUGAGUUCUACAGUGGCACAUUUGAGACAUCCAAGUUGGAAGGAACCCAAUCAGAGAUGGCAUUAUUAUAUUCUGCUAAUGGUAGGGGAAAUGACAGGAGCCUGGCAUGGCUAUCCUCUGAGAGGCCCAACAAGCAGCUGAUUGAGAUAGAUGCAGAUACUUACAGCCAACCAUUGGACGGAGGUCAGGGACCCUAUGGAAGAGUUAUGGGAAGCAUUGAAGGAACUGAAGGGGAUAGCAACCCCAUAGGAAGAACAGGGUCAACUAACCUGGACCCCUGGAAGCAACCAGAGACUAAGCCACCAACCAAAGAGCAUACAUGGGCUGGUUGGAGGUCUCUGGCACAUAUGCCUUAUCUGGACUCAGUGAUUGAAAAACGUGCCUAAUCCUGAAGAGACUUGAUGCCCCAGAGAAGGAGGAAGUGAAGGGGGUUGAGUAGGAGGGGCAACAUUUGGGAUGUAAAUAAAUAAAAUGAUUAGUUUUUAAAAAGAGAAAA